This 497-nucleotide ribosomal RNA is filed under the name uncultured bacterium. Its description in RNAcentral is "partial 16S ribosomal RNA". It matches the Rfam family "Bacterial small subunit ribosomal RNA", at positions 28 to 507 of the family's 1533-position model. The record is from RNAcentral.
GAUGAACGCUGGCGGCGUGCCUAAUACAUGCAAGUCGAGCGAACGGACGAGAAGCUUGCUUUUCUGAUGUUAGCGGCGGACGGGUGAGUAACACGUGGAUAACCUACCUAUAAGACUGGGAUAACUUCGGGAAACCGGAGCUAAUACCGGAUAAUAUUUUGAACCGCAUGGUUCAAAAGUGAAAGACGGUCUUGCUGUCACUUAUAGAUGGAUCCGCGCUGCAUUAGCUAGUUGGUAAGGUAACGGCUUACCAAGGCAACGAUGCAUAGCCGACCUGGGAGGGUGAUCGGCCACACUGGAACUGAGACACGGUCCAGAGUCCUACGGGAGGAAGCAGUAGGGAAUCUUCAGCAAUGGGCGAAAGCCUGACGGAGCAACGCCGCGUGAGUGAUGAAGGUCUUCGGAUCGUAAAACUCUGUUAUUAGGGAAGAACAUAUGUGUAAGGAACUGUGCACAUCUUGACGGUACCUAAUCAGAAAGCCACGGCUAACUACGUG